Long non-coding RNA from Hydra vulgaris (swiftwater hydra), 502 nucleotides. RefSeq lists it as uncharacterized. The record is from RefSeq and is a predicted model, not a curated record. NCBI's taxonomy places the organism in Eukaryota, Metazoa, Cnidaria, Hydrozoa, Anthoathecata, Hydridae.
UAUAAUUGCAGUGUAUUUCAAAAUACUAUGCUUUAUGAAAUCUUAAGCAACUUCAAUAAAAUGAUGACAAUGGCUCGUGUUAGGUUUUCUAGGUUUAUAAUUACAAUUUGAAUAACAAAGCAAUGAAGCUUGUGUGAUGGCAAUAUUUAACUCUUAAGAGAAAAAAAAUUACAAAACUUAAUAUUAGACAAAUUUGUUUAUAAGCUCGCAACAUUGUUUUCAGACAAUAAAUAAAUCUAAAUUUUAUUUGGAAAAGAAGUAGAAUGCAACAUUCAAAAAGUGACUUUUAGAUCAAGUCUGUAUAUCUGUCGAAAACCCAAUUGUAAAGUUAGAGCGAUGCAAUAGCCGAGCCCAUAUAUAUAUCUGAAUAUAUAUCUGUCAAAGAUCGUUCAAAUACAGAAAAUGUCACAAAUUUGUGACAUUUUCUGUAUUUCUUUUUGUUAAGGCUUUACCUGAAUAUUUGCUACCUAUUAUUUUUUUCAAAUAAAACUUUUAAUAAUUA